GUUGACCUCGGAUCAGGUAGGGAUACCCGCUGAACUUAAGCAUAUCAAUAAGCGGAGGAAAAGAAACCAACAGGGAUUGCCCUAGUAACGGCGAGUGAAGCGGCAACAGCUCAAAUUUG
RNAcentral lists this ribosomal RNA (119 nucleotides) under Cercosporella dolichandrae. RNAcentral's name for it is "partial 28S ribsomal RNA". It matches the Rfam family "Eukaryotic large subunit ribosomal RNA", at positions 1 to 117 of the family's 3401-position model. The record is from RNAcentral. RNAcentral also lists the same sequence under 4 other names. Lineage: Eukaryota; Fungi; Ascomycota; Dothideomycetes; Mycosphaerellales; Mycosphaerellaceae.